Molecule: ribosomal RNA, 679 nt
Filed under: uncultured marine microorganism
Description: bacterial SSU rRNA
Rfam family: Bacterial small subunit ribosomal RNA
Source: RNAcentral
AGAGUUUGAUCAUGGCUCAGAUUGAGCGCUGGCGGCAGGCCUAACACAUGCAAGUCGAGCGGAAACGAGUUAUCUGAACCUUCGGGGAACGAUAACGGCGUCGAGCGGCGGACGGGUGAGUAAUGCCUAGGAAAUCGCCUUGAUGUGGGGGAUAACCAUUGGAAACGAUGGCUAAUACCGCAUAAUGCCUACGGGCCAAAGAGGGGGACCUUCGGGCCUCUCGCGUCAAGAUAUGCCUAGGUGGGAUUAGCUAGUUGGUGAGGUAAUGGCUCACCAAGGCGACGAUCCCUAGCUGGUCUGAGAGGAUGAUCAGCCACACUGGAACUGAGACACGGUCCAGACUCCUACGGGAGGCAGCAGUGGGGAAUAUUGCACAAUGGGCGAAAGCCUGAUGCAGCCAUGCCGCGUGUAUGAAGAAGGCCUUCGGGUUGUAAAGUACUUUCAGUUGUGAGGAAGGGGGUGUCGUUAAUAGCGGCAUCUCUUGACGUUAGCAACAGAAGAAGCACCGGCUAACUCCGUGCCAGCAGCCGCGGUAAUACGGAGGGUGCGAGCGUUAAUCGGAAUUACUGGGUGUAAAGCGCAUACAGGUGGUUCAUUAAGUCAGAUGUGAAAGCCCGGGGCUCAACCUCGGAACUGCAUUUGAAACUGAUGAACUAGAGUACUGUANAGGGGGGUAGAA